GUCGAACGAACCAUCCUGAAGAUUGAAGCUUGCUUCAUGAUUCAGACCUUGGUGAGUGGCGGACGGGUGAGUAACACGUGGGUAACCUGCCCUAAAGUGGGGGAUAACAUCUGGAAACAGGUGCUAAUACCGCAUAACAACAGUCUUCACAUGAUCACUGUUUAAAAGAUGGCUCUGCUAUCGCUUUUGGAUGGACCCGCGGCGUAUUAGCUAGUUGGUGAGGUAAAGGCUCACCAAGGCGAUGAUACGUAGCCGACCUGAGAGGGUAAUCGGCCACAUUGGGACUGAGACACGGCCCAAACUCCUACGGGAGGCAGCAGUAGGGAAUCUUCCACAAUGGGCGAAAGCCUGAUGGAGCAAUGCCGCGUGAGUGAAGAAGGUUUUCGGAUCGUAAAACUCUGUUGUUGAAGAAGAAUAUGCGUGAGAGUAACUGUUCACGUACUGACGGUAUUCAACCAGAAAGCCACGGCUAACUACGUGCCAGCAGCCGCGGUAAUACGUAGGUGGCAAGCGUUGUCCGGAUUUAUUGGGCGUAAAGAGAAUGUAGGCGGUUUAUUAAGUUUGAAGUGAAAGCCCUCGGCUCAACCGAGGAAGUGCUUCGAAAACUGGUAAACUUGAGUGCAGAAA
This 627-nucleotide ribosomal RNA is filed under the name Companilactobacillus mindensis. Its description in RNAcentral is "bacterial SSU rRNA". It matches the Rfam family "Bacterial small subunit ribosomal RNA", at positions 61 to 654 of the family's 1533-position model. The record is from RNAcentral. Lineage: Bacteria; Bacillati; Bacillota; Bacilli; Lactobacillales; Lactobacillaceae.